GCCAGGCGUGGUGGUGCAUGCCUGUAGUCCCAAUUACUUGGGAGGCUGAGGCAAGAGGGUUACUUGAGCCUGGGAGGUCAAGGCUGCAGUAAGCCAUGAUCAUCGCUGCACUCUAGCCUGGGCAACAGAGUGAGAACCUGUCUCAA
Molecule: non-coding RNA, 146 nt
Organism: Homo sapiens (human)
Lineage: Eukaryota; Metazoa; Chordata; Mammalia; Primates; Hominidae
Rfam family: Metazoan signal recognition particle RNA
About the family: The signal recognition particle (SRP) is a universally conserved ribonucleoprotein. It is involved in the co-translational targeting of proteins to membranes.
Source: Rfam